AACGAACGCUGGCGGCGUGGAUAAGGCAUGCAAGUCGAACGGGCUUUAACGGGUGGUAACAUCUGUUAAGGCUAGUGGCGAACGGGUGAGUAACACGUGGGCAAUCUGCCUCGAAGUGGGGGAUAACAUCGGGAAACCGGUGCUAAUACCGCGUAAUAUCCAGGGAUCGCAUGUUUCCUGGAUCAAAGGUGGGGAUCUUUCGGGACCUACCGCUUUGAGAGGAGCCCGCGGUCGAUUAGCUUGUUGGUGAGGUAAUGGCUCACCAAGGCAAUGAUCGAUAGCCGACCUGAGAGGGUGACCGGCCACACUGGGACUGAGAUACGGCCCAGACUCCUACGGGAGGCAGCAGUGGGGAAUCUUAGACAAUGGGCGCAAGCCUGAUCUAGCCAUGCCGCGUGAGCGAUGAAGGCCUUAGGGUUGUAAAGCUCUUUCAGUGGGGAAGAUAAAUGACUGUACCCCACAGAAGAAGCCCCGGNUAACUCCGUGCCAGCAGCCGCGGUAA
Molecule: ribosomal RNA, 502 nt
Filed under: uncultured bacterium
Lineage: Bacteria
Description: bacterial SSU rRNA
Rfam family: Bacterial small subunit ribosomal RNA
Source: RNAcentral